RNAcentral lists this ribosomal RNA (442 nucleotides) under uncultured bacterium. Its description in RNAcentral is "partial 16S ribosomal RNA". It matches the Rfam family "Bacterial small subunit ribosomal RNA", at positions 339 to 795 of the family's 1533-position model. The record is from RNAcentral.
CUACGGGCUGCAGCAGUGGGGAAUAUUGGGCAAUGGGCGCAAGCCUGACCCAGCAACGCCGCGUGAGGGAAGAAUGUCUUCGGAUUGUAAACCUCUGUCCUUGGGGACGAAAAAAAUGACGGUACCCAAGGAGGAAGCUCCGGCUAACUACGUGCCAGCAGCCGCGGUAAUACGUAGGGAGCAAGCGUUGUCCGGAAUUAUUGGGCGUAAGGGGUGCGUAGGCGGCGCUGUAAGUCAGAUGUGAAAUCCCCGGGCUUAACUCGGGAGUUGCAUUUGAAACUACAGUGCUUGAGUAAAGAAGGGGUAAGUGGAAUUCCUAGUGUAGCGGUGGAAUGCGUAGAUAUUAGGAGGAACACCAGUGGCGAAGGCGACUUACUGGUCUUUUACUGACGCUGAGGCACGAAAGCGUGGGGAGCAAACAGGAUUAGAUACCCGGGUAGUC